UACAGAGGUCCCGAGCGUUGUUCGGAUUCAUUGGGCGUAAAGGGUGCGUAGGCGGUCUGCUAAGUUUGAUGUGAAAUCCCGGGUCUCAACCCUGGGAUGCCGGUCGAUACUGCCGGACUAGAGUUCGGAAGAGGCGAGUGGAAUUCCCGGUGUAGCGGUGAAAUGCGCAGAUAUCGGGAGGAACACCUAUGGCGAAGGCAGCUCGCUGGGACGUUACUGACGCUGAGACGCGAAAGCGUGGGGAGCAAACAGG
This 253-nucleotide ribosomal RNA is filed under the name uncultured bacterium. RNAcentral's name for it is "partial 16S ribosomal RNA". It matches the Rfam family "Bacterial small subunit ribosomal RNA", at positions 524 to 776 of the family's 1533-position model. The record is from RNAcentral.